This 74-nucleotide transfer RNA is filed under the name Candidatus Colwellbacteria bacterium RIFCSPHIGHO2_12_FULL_43_12. Its description in RNAcentral is "tRNA-Pro". It matches the Rfam family "tRNA". Rfam says of the family: Transfer RNA (tRNA) molecules are approximately 80 nucleotides in length. Their secondary structure includes four short double-helical elements and three loops (D, anti-codon, and T loops). Lineage: Bacteria; Candidatus Colwelliibacteriota. The record is from RNAcentral. RNAcentral also lists the same sequence under 1 other name.
CGGAGCGUAGUAUACCGGUAGUACGCCUGCUUUGGGAGCAGGUAGACCGGGUUCGAUUCCCGGCGCUCCGACAA